AUGAAUUCUUUGAAUACCCAUGAUGCUAAUGAUAUGCAAAGCCACAAGCUUGGGGAUGCUAUGUUUGAUGAAGAUGAUAUGUUUAGUCCCCCAAGUUUUGAUGAGCAAAUUUAUUAUGACGAAAACAUGCCUCCUAUUUAUGAUGAUUAUUGUGAUGAAACGUAUGCUAUAAAGAAUAAAUAUAACCAUGAAACUUGUCAUCAUGAUUUUAAAUUUCAAUUGGAUUAUGCUUCACAUGAUAGUUAUUUUGUUGAGUUUGCUCCCACUACUAUUGAUGAGAAUAAAUUUGCUUAUGUGGAGAGUAGUAAAAUUUCUAUGCAGGUAGAUCAUGAAAAGAAUGCUUUAUGUGAUGGUUAUAUUGUUGAAUUCAUUCAUGAUGCUACUGAAAAUUAUUAUGAGAGAGGAUCAUAUGCUUCUACAUAUUGCAAUAAUAUCAAGUUUCCUCUCUAUGUGUUGAAAAUCUUGAAGAUUUGCUUGUUUUACCUUCCUAUGCUAGUUGUUUCAUGUUCCCAUAAAUAG
Molecule: ribosomal RNA, 519 nt
Filed under: Triticum aestivum (bread wheat)
Lineage: Eukaryota; Viridiplantae; Streptophyta; Magnoliopsida; Poales; Poaceae
Description: partial small subunit ribosomal RNA
Source: RNAcentral